This is a long non-coding RNA of Bos taurus (domestic cattle), 1189 nucleotides long. The record is from Ensembl. Lineage: Eukaryota; Metazoa; Chordata; Mammalia; Artiodactyla; Bovidae.
UAUAGGGGAAAAAAAAAGAUUCUGGAAAUACGGAACCAAGUAAAUUAGGGCUUUGGGUCAGCGUUCCGGUCAUUCACCCAUCAUGAUCCUGAUCUGGUUUCCUUUGACUGAAAGUAGUGAACCCUUUCUUUCUUUGAGGGUCUCUCUUGGCCUAUCUCUUGGUCAGGGGGCAUCAGCAGAAGGUUAAGAGGGAUCCUCUAAUGCCUUUUGGAGAAUUUGCCUAAAGAGUAUGCAGAGAUGGGGAACCCCCAAAGGCUUUUUCUAGAAGUUUCUAUCUUAGGGAUUUGCUCCAGUGGAAGGUGGGAGUCAUGGUUCUCAAUGAGGCAUCUUGUGGAUGCCAGAGUCCUAGCCCCAUGACCACAGUGUGAGCUGGUCAGCAGGUGCUUAAGCUUAAGAGAAAAAAAAAAAAAAAAAACGCCAAACCUGAAAAAGUUUGGGGAUGGGGCUUCCCUCUCUGUGUGUGGAAGAAACCAACCGAGGCUGAGAUCAGGAUUAAAGAAACUGAAAAGAGAAACAUCCAGCCCUUUUCAGAAGACCCCACCCUCUGUGUUCCUGGGGGGCCCUUGGCCCAUCUCCUAGUGUCCCCUUCACGGAGGAGCCUGCCUCAAACUGGUCCUCCGGUCCUAAGAAAACCCAACUCUGAGAAGAAAAUUGGGUGCAGCUGCUCCCAUGGAAGGAGCAAGGGAUGACGGACAGGCCUCUGUGAAAAUCUUCCAAGGAGGCUACUUUGAUGCGAGUGCAAGCAUCGAAUGACCAGUGUGGGCUCUCAGAAUCAGUCCUGUAAACACCUCCUUACAGGUGGGCAGGUGGGCAGCUGAUCCCUGCUGGGACACAGCGGCAGGGAGAAACCUCGGAUCCUGAAGCCAUCUGGCCUCUUCCGAAUCAUCCCUGGUCAUUAGGAACGUCUCCCCUCUGUUGAUUCAGAAUCUGCCUCGUCGAGUAAAUCCGACCCGCCCGUCGCCCCUGUAGAAGUUACUCCAUUCCAGCUUCAUUCCUCCUUCACAGUGCUUGAAGACGUGCCACCCCGAAGAAACCUCUUUUCCAGACUAAACAACUGUGGUGUCUUAAACAGAUUUUCGUUGACUUGCUUUUUGGAAUCCUAAAUGUUGUUGUGCUUUACAUGCUUCAAAUGGUCAGUGUCCCUUAAGAAAAAAAAGUGAGACUUUGAACCAAAUGCAGUGUUCUAAAC